RNAcentral lists this ribosomal RNA (505 nucleotides) under uncultured bacterium. RNAcentral's name for it is "bacterial SSU rRNA". It matches the Rfam family "Bacterial small subunit ribosomal RNA", at positions 855 to 1360 of the family's 1533-position model. The record is from RNAcentral.
ACGCAUUAAGUGCCCCGCCUGGGGAGUACGAUCGCAAGAUUAAAACUCAAAGGAAUUGACGGGGCCCCGCACAAGCAGCGGAGCAUGCGGUUUAAUUCGAUGCAACGCGAAAAACCUUACCCACCUUUGACAUGUACGGAAUCCUUUAGAGAUAGAGGAGUGCUCGAAAGAGAGCCGUAACACAGGUGCUGCAUGGCUGUCGUCAGCUCGUGUCGUGAGAUGUUGGGUUAAGUCCCGCAACGAGCGCAACCCUUGUCAUUAGUUGCUACAUUUAGUUGAGCACUCUAAUGAGACUGCCGGUGACAAGCCGGAGGAAGGUGGGGAUGACGUCAAGUCCUCAUGGCCCUUAUAGGUGGGGCUACACACGUCAUACAAUGGCUGGUACAAAGGGUUGCCAACCCGCGAGGGGGAGCUAAUCCCACAAAGCCAGUCGUAGUCCGGAUCGUAGUCUGCAACUCGACUACGUGAAGUCGGAAUCGCUAGUAAUCGUGGAUCAGAAUGUCAC